Molecule: transfer RNA, 76 nt
Filed under: Candidatus Hydrogenedentota bacterium
Lineage: Bacteria; Pseudomonadati; Candidatus Hydrogenedentota
Also listed under: 1 other name
Description: tRNA-Ala
Rfam family: tRNA
About the family: Transfer RNA (tRNA) molecules are approximately 80 nucleotides in length. Their secondary structure includes four short double-helical elements and three loops (D, anti-codon, and T loops). Further hydrogen bonds mediate the characteristic L-shaped molecular structure. tRNAs have two regions of fundamental functional importance: the anti-codon, which is responsible for specific mRNA codon recognition, and the 3' end, to which the tRNAs corresponding amino acid is attached (by aminoacyl-tRNA synthetases). tRNAs cope with the degeneracy of the genetic code in two manners: having more than one tRNA (with a specific anti-codon) for a particular amino acid; and 'wobble' base-pairing, i.e. permitting non-standard base-pairing at the 3rd anti-codon position.
Source: RNAcentral
GGGGCUGUAGCUCAGCUGGGAGAGCGCCGCGUUCGCAAUGCGGAGGCCAGGAGUUCGAUCCUCCUCAGCUCCACCA